GCUCCUCUCGAUCCCGUCCCCUUCCUCCCCGUCGUCUUCUCCUCGCGACGCCCCACCCUCCACCAGCCCGAGCCCCUCGCUCCCUUCUCCACCAGGCCCUCCACCUUCGCUCGAUUUUACCUUGUUGUCAUGGGGGAUGGGGUCGUCGGGCUCAUGGCCGAGCUCGACAAGGUGGAGCUCGUGCGCUCCCACGACGAUCCCGAGCGCAACCCUGGCUUCUGCUUCCUCUACUACGCGGACGCCGAGGCAACAGCGGAGCGUGCUGCGUAGGUCGAUGGGGUUGACUUCCGGGGUGGCUCUAUGACGGGAGGAAGGGGCGGGCCAGGGCGGAGGACAAGGCACGCUGGGCGGAUCACGGCCAAGGGAAGGAGGCGCCAUCGCCGUGGCACCACGGUAGCGCUCCUUCCUCGUCAAGUCCGAGAACCUCAAGGGAGCCAAGUCCGAGGAGCUCCUCAUCGCCUCCCGCAAGCACUACUGGUUGACUGCACGACGUGCGUCGAGGAUCGUCGGAGGGUGGCACUUCUUGUUCCGCCAAUCCACGAGCAGGGAGCGGAAGGCGCAGCCAGCGACCAGGCGCAUGGGUGGCGCAAUUAGGGCAUCCAAUCAUCCCAAUUAGAUAGCAGAACUAAAGUUUUCUCUAAUUUAGAUUUCAGCUGCUGCAGGGAGGGGGCUGCUUCUCCCCGGUGUCGGAGCUCGUCGGGCGGGCAGAGGCCGCCGCAUCGGCGGCCGCCUCGGAGAUCUCCGAGACGUCCUCCGCCGCCGCCGACGCGCUCAGCUCCGUCGUCGCGGCCGUGGUGCGCGCGCCGCCCAAGGACUUCCGCGUCAUCAGGCAGGAGUGGGCGGCCAUCCGCAUCCAGACCACCUUCCGCGGCUUCUUGCAGGCAGCAAACGGGACAGUGUGGAAACAAGGGCAGAGGAAGAACGCCCUGGAGGUGAUGCAGGUGUCGGAGCAGCAGCGAGCAACAGACCUUUUCUCGCAGAAGGUGAAGAGGUCGUCGUUCAGCACGUCGGACAAGGUUCUUCAGCUGUCAGACUAGGUGGAGGCACUCUUCCUGAAGCACUUCGCGCUCCUCGACCUCGACCUCGAGCUGGCACAGGGGCAAGCUGGCGCAGAUGACAACGGCCGUGCUCCUCGACCUCGAGCUCCGCCCCCGUCCGCCCACGCUCCUCGAGCUCGAGCUCUGCCCCCGCCCGCCCCUGGCCGCUGGUACUUCCCCUGCCCCCCCUCUCAUCGUGCUGCUUGAUGCGAUCUGUGUUGUACUGCUGUAUGAACCAGCUGUUGCUUAUCCCAUCGUUGUUGCAUUGCUGUCGAGUUAGCUUCUCAUGCCACUGCUGCAGCUGUUUGCUGCCUCAUGAUUUUGCAUGAUGAGUUGAAUUAGAAGCUGCUUAUCUAUGAAUCGUUACUAAUUCAAUAAUACCAAUGGUGUGGUGGUGCAUUAAUCAACAGUAAAUACAUAGACGUAUGCAAGGGUUUUUCCUUUGCUAUCAUCCCAACUUAACACAUGAAGAUUGCAAAGAACAUUCCUCUUGGAUGCCCUGUGAACACAUCCACUACUAGUCAAGUCAAGCUGUGUAUGCAUAUCAAAUUUCUGCAAUGUGAACAUAUCCCCCUGCUGAUUGAUUAUUCUGGUGGUGCAUAUCCCCCUGCUGAUUGAUUAUUCUGGGGCUACAAGUGAUGCAUACCCCCCUGCUGUGAACACAUCCAGUCCAUACGUAUGGUGACUGCUGAUUGAUUAUUUUUGUUUUCCUGUGAAUCCCAUCUUUAUUGACUAGCAGCACUACACUAAGUAUUACAAAUCCGCCGUGCAUACAAUCCAGUCAUAUCAACAUGUAGUUGCUUUGUAUAUCCUGUAAAUAAUUUCUUUGCACGCCCAUUCUACCAUGUCAAUGAUGAUGAAUUAAUUAUGAUUUCUGCCAAUGGAUGGAUUGACAUGAUGCGACGGACCUGCUGCCGGCUGUCUUCCCCGACCACUUAUGUGAGCUGCCCCUGCCGCUGACCCUCCUCAACUUUGCCCGUUGCUCGUUGUUGCUGCUGGUGCCACCGGAUGCAAGGGUGGAGCUUGCGCCUCCUUGCUGAAGCCUCUUUCUCUACUCCAGUUUAUGUUGCUUCCGUUGCUGCGAAUGUGGUUAAGAUGGUGUUCUACACCAGCUUCUUAUGUUGCAUGUGAAUGGGGUGAUAGAACUGAAAUGAGCAGAUCACUAUAUGACUAAGAAAAUCAGAAAGUACAUGUAGGAAAAUAUCAUAGCUCUUACUCACAUUGCCAAAAUAACAUGUACUUCUAGCAAUUGUGCCAAAGCAUUAGCAUUGCCUGUUUGAGAGCUUGCUGCCAGUUACUUGCUACUGCUUUGACUGAUACUUGUUGUUUGGUGCUAAUUAUACCUCUUGCUAGUUCUACUCUGAUUCAUGUUUGCAUGUUGGCUAGAAAUUACCCUGAUUAUACAUUUUUUUUUGUUACACUAUACAUUAAUGUAUUAUGUUAUUAUUUGUGUGCAUGAUGCUUUGAGCCUAUUUUUCCCUUUCCUCCUUGAUUGAUCAAUUCAUGUAAUGUUAUGUUCUUGUAGGAAGGCAAGUUGUCGCAUCUGAUCACAUUAGAGGGAACAAUGAAGUUUGUACUACUUGUACGAGUUGAACAAUGUUAUGUUCUUAUAGGACAGUACUAGAUGUGCUAAUACAAGUUCAACAAUGUGAUGUAGAAAGUUAAGGCAAAUUGUGUAGAUAAUGUAUUCGUGUGUAACUAAAUGUUGUAUUCCCUGUGUAAACGGUGCUUUAAAUGACAUGAUGAUAUUGAAAUUGUGUACAA
Molecule: long non-coding RNA, 2801 nt
Organism: Triticum aestivum (bread wheat)
Lineage: Eukaryota; Viridiplantae; Streptophyta; Magnoliopsida; Poales; Poaceae
Exons: 6
Source: RefSeq, a predicted model, not a curated record